GCCAGGUGUGGUGGCGGACACCUGUAGUCCCAGCUACUUGGGCGGCUGAGGCCGGAGGCUCACUUAAGCCCAGGAGUUCUGGGCUGCAGUGCACUAGGUUCAGCAUCUAUAUGGUGACCUCCCAGGAGCUGGGGACCACUAGGUUGCCUAAGGAGGGGUGAACUGGCCCAGAUCGGAAACAGAGCAGGUAGAAAAACAUGGAAAAGUUUUUCCUAUACAAUUUGAUGAUUCUUACCUUUGAUGAGCCUUGCCUUUU
This 256-nucleotide signal recognition particle RNA is filed under the name Erinaceus europaeus (western European hedgehog). RNAcentral's name for it is "Metazoan signal recognition particle RNA". It matches the Rfam family "Metazoan signal recognition particle RNA". From Rfam's summary of the family: The signal recognition particle (SRP) is a universally conserved ribonucleoprotein. It is involved in the co-translational targeting of proteins to membranes. The eukaryotic SRP consists of a 300-nucleotide 7S RNA and six proteins: SRPs 72, 68, 54, 19, 14, and 9. The record is from Rfam by way of RNAcentral. Lineage: Eukaryota; Metazoa; Chordata; Mammalia; Eulipotyphla; Erinaceidae.